CGUAGAAUCUCGCCUGUUGGUGCUCGCAGUGUGGUUCACACGCUGCAGUUCAACGGGAAGCAGGAGGGAGUCAAAGCCAUGCGGACCGGGUCAGCCCGGUCUAGCCAGGCGCUGCGACUUCUAACCUGCGCUGCCCCCGCAACGGUAAACGGACGAAUGCUGCUCCUUCGGCUUGACAGCCAGGGACACAUUCAGCUUUCAUCAUGGGCCACUGAGCGUUUUGAACACGCGCUUGGGAAGGCGAUGAAGGUAGCUCCGUCAGCCCGGAUACCGGCCAACAAGGUGAAUGCGCG
Molecule: non-coding RNA, 293 nt
Filed under: Burkholderiales bacterium
Lineage: Bacteria; Pseudomonadati; Pseudomonadota; Betaproteobacteria; Burkholderiales
Source: RNAcentral